Helianthus annuus (common sunflower) is the source of this 1044-nucleotide long non-coding RNA. RefSeq lists it as uncharacterized. Lineage: Eukaryota; Viridiplantae; Streptophyta; Magnoliopsida; Asterales; Asteraceae. The transcript is spliced from 4 exons. The record is from RefSeq and is a predicted model, not a curated record.
UUGGUUAGGAUUUACGGUGAAGGAGCGGAUAUUUUCUUUGAUCGCGAAGAGGAAAUUCGGACCUUUGGAUUGAUCUCGACCUACGGGCAUGGCCGCACCUUCUUGCUAAGUUUCCUGAAGGUAGAGUUGAGGAGUUUAUUCAUGCCAAGUGACCGGAAAGAUUGUUUGAGGGCAUUAUCAGAACAGAGUGAAAAUAGGGGAAGAAAACGGCAAAGGCGUCUUCUAAGCAGCCGUGGUUCAUGACCAAUACGCCAUUAAUUCAGAAUUCUGAUACUAAUCAGAUUGUUGUUCGUGAUUGACAAAGAGGUUUUGUCCGAUUUACGUCGGGACGAUGCACCAAUGCGCACGUUAGGUGGAUCAGGUUCAGAUGAAAGGACUGAGAAUGCCGUUGGUAGAGAUUUGGAUAAGAAGUGGAAUUUUGGUGAGCGGGCAGGUUGGGUGGGGUCAGAACGGGUUUAGGUUUAAACAUCAAGCUUCAGAAAUAUCAUGAUAGUUGGUGUAUCCCUGUUUAUAGGGUUAUCCUUACCCACGUAUUUUCAACAGUAUCAACCCGAAACCGCCUUAAUUCUUCCCGGUUACUUCAUUCCUUACUCGGCAGCACAAGAUGGGCCAAUUCACUCUGGAAAUAAGCAGGUAUGUUUAGUGAUGUAAACGAGCCAAGCCGCUCGUGAGCUACUCGAGAUCGGCCUGCUAAAAGCUCGAAUCGAGCCGAGCCUAAAAAAAGCUUGAUCCCGAACUUGCGCUUAAACAUAAGCUUGAGCCCGAAGCUGAGCUUAAAAAUAAGCUUGAGCUUCACUUAUUGAGCUGGCUCACGAGUAGGGGUGUUCAAAAAGCUCAAGACAAAAGCUCGUUGUAAACGAGCUGGCUCGGCUCGGCUCGAUUUGUAAACAAGCCGAGGUCGAGCUAGGCCUGGCUCUGCUUGGGAGCUCGCGAGCCGGCUCGAAUUAUUUUAAUUUUAUAUAGAUUAAUUGAAGUGAAAACAUUUUGAGUUUAGUUAAUCAAUAACAUAUAAAAAUAUGGGAAAAUAAACAAAAAUUAUUCAUA